Molecule: ribosomal RNA, 205 nt
Filed under: uncultured bacterium
Lineage: Bacteria
Description: partial 16S ribosomal RNA
Rfam family: Bacterial small subunit ribosomal RNA
Source: RNAcentral
CGUGUAGGCGGCCAUGCAGGUCCGUUGUGAAAACUCGAGGCUCAACCUCGAGACGUCGAUGGAAACCGCAUGGCUAGAGUCCGGAAGAGGAGAGUGGAAUUCCUGGUGUAGCGGUGAAAUGCGCAGAUAUCAGGAAGAACACCCGUGGCGAAGGCGGCUCUCUGGGACGGUACUGACGCUGAGACGCAAAGCGUGGGAGCGAACA